Molecule: transfer RNA, 78 nt
Filed under: Bacteroidales bacterium
Lineage: Bacteria; Pseudomonadati; Bacteroidota; Bacteroidia; Bacteroidales
Description: tRNA-Leu
Rfam family: tRNA
About the family: Transfer RNA (tRNA) molecules are approximately 80 nucleotides in length. Their secondary structure includes four short double-helical elements and three loops (D, anti-codon, and T loops).
Source: RNAcentral
AACGGUAUGGCGGAAUUGGUAGACGCGUGGGGCUUAGAACCUCAUAGAUUUUCUGUAACGGUUCAACUCCGUUUACCG